CAAAAUGUAAGCCGCAUGAAAC
Molecule: non-coding RNA, 22 nt
Filed under: Arabidopsis thaliana (thale cress)
Lineage: Eukaryota; Viridiplantae; Streptophyta; Magnoliopsida; Brassicales; Brassicaceae
Source: RNAcentral